AGGCCGCUGCGGGCCCGCCGCUCUCCGUCGUCCAGCGCAACCCCGGCGCGACCCCCGCCCCCCGGCCGGGGCAGCCGCCGGCCCGUCCGGGCCACGUGACCCAGGCGGCGGUGUAGACCGGCCCAGCGUCCCGGGCCCUGCGCAUGAUGCGCCCAGGCACUGUCUUCAUAGUCCACAGGUCUCAAACUCCAGCAUCUCAGAAUGAAAGGAUUCACAAGUGCUCACAAGAGGCUUGGCUGCCAGGGGAAGCUCCGACCUGAAGAUUUGAACUAAUGAGGGACUAUAAAGGCCAAGACCUUGUUCUUGCCAUUUUAGAGAUUCAGAAUAUAAUCUACAAAGUUAGAGAUUAUAAUUGGCCUCCACUGUGUGAUUUGAUUCCAAGCUACCCAUGAAGAAACCCAGACUCAGAGGUCACUUGCCUAGGGUCACACAGUGACCUGAGAUGGGAACCACAGGUCGCCACAUAGACUUGGUCAUCAGGAGUGGGCCUGGUGAGGCCAAAGAAGGAGAUUUCAUCUGUCAAGGUUACUCACACAGGGCAGCUGAUUCUGUUUCCUAGGGCCUG
This 565-nucleotide long non-coding RNA is filed under the name Homo sapiens (human). RNAcentral describes it as "non-protein coding lnc-RACGAP1-1:12". Lineage: Eukaryota; Metazoa; Chordata; Mammalia; Primates; Hominidae. The record is from RNAcentral.